CUCUAUGUUUAUAUAAACAUGAUAUCAUUAUUUUAUAUGUGUAAUCAAUAAGGAUCAACCGUGGUACGACAACCGUUGUUUACCUUAAUUAAAACAACUACCCCAACCCUUCACCACGACAACAUCAUUUGGCGCAGUCGAUUUGGCAAUUAAAAAUAAGGUAAUGUAGCAGUUUACAAGAAGCAAAACUACACCUAUGUACCACCAACACCUCCCAACGAUCUGAUUGCAAGCACGAGUUAUACACUGGACUUCAACGAACGCAAGUUUAUACAAAUAGGACUUUACCCAACAAAUUAAUUUAAUGUAAUGGUAAAUAUUAUUAUGCCAUCUCAGUAUGUGAGUAUAACUGUGAAUUACUAAAAGAGAGUUUACUCGUUAAUGAGAUACAUAUUUUCAAACAUCCUAGAGAAUUCCGAAAAAAAUGCCAACAUUUCAUUUCUCUCUGACAACCACAUUAUUCUUUCUAAAAUGGUGUAUAAGAGAGAAAAUGUUCGAAUAAUAGAAUCACAAUCACGAAGUGGAUGUCGCAUCUUGUUAAAUCAACAGAAUCUAUUAAUAAUGGCUGAUUCAGAAUGGAUUAUAUACGGUUUUAUUGCAAGGCAUACGAAUAUCACUAUCGAUAAAGUAAUGAAGCAAAUCGAAAUAAUGAUCAAAUAUUAUGAAAGCAGAUUUUUGCCUACUUUCGAAAUAACUAAGUCAAAGUUGACAUACAUCAAUAAGGUUUCAAAUGUCACUAUAACUACAGUCUACAGCAAUAGAAUCAUUGAACGAAACCAAUUUUAUUAGUGAAAUAAAACGAUUUGCUGCUGAAUAAUUGACUGAUAUGUGGAUGAAAAAAUUAAGCAUGCGAAUUGAUACGGUAAAGAUUUUUUUCAAAAGUUCCUAAACUCUAUAGAAGUAUUUAGUACAUUUUUGAAGGGCGAAUAUAGUGUGAGUAGUGAAUGGGACGUAAGUAGCAAAGUUCUGUUCACUGGUUGUUGUAACGCGUAAAAGUUGUUAUCGGCGGUUGGCGUUUCCUCAUUUCCGCGCGCUCCAUAAUCAAUUUUUAAUCUCUUUGCUUUUGUUUUCCGUUCCUUUUAUCAUUAUCCGUCUCAUAACCUAAUAUUGCUAAUACUUGUGUAUACUCACAUGCUUAACAAAAUUAAUAAAAUUUUCUCUUUUUCGUCGUACUAAAAUUCUCAAUUUUCAUUUUCUUUUGUUUUUGUUUGGUGUUUUGCCAUUGCGGUAGCCAAUCAUUGUAAAGAACAGUGAA
Long non-coding RNA from Adelges cooleyi (spruce gall adelgid), 1255 nucleotides. RefSeq lists it as uncharacterized. The transcript is spliced from 3 exons. NCBI's taxonomy places the organism in Eukaryota, Metazoa, Arthropoda, Insecta, Hemiptera, Adelgidae. The record is from RefSeq and is a predicted model, not a curated record.